This 423-nucleotide ribosomal RNA is filed under the name uncultured bacterium. Its description in RNAcentral is "bacterial SSU rRNA". It matches the Rfam family "Bacterial small subunit ribosomal RNA", at positions 207 to 622 of the family's 1533-position model. The record is from RNAcentral.
AAGACCUUGCGCUUUUGGAGCGGCCGAUGCCUGAUUAGCUUGUUGGUAAGGUAAAAGCUUACCAAGGCUUCGAUCAGUAGCUGGUCUGAGAGGACGACCAGCCACACUGGGACUGAGACACGGCCCAGACUCCUACGGGAGGCAGCAGUGGGGAAUUUUGGACAAUGGGGGCAACCCUGAUCCAGCCAUGCCGCGUGAGUGAAGAAGGCCUUCGGGUUGUAAAGCUCUUUCAGCCGGAACGGAACGGUUACGGUUAAUACCCGUGACUACUGACGGUACCGGAAGAAGAAGCACCGGCUAACUACGUGCCAGCAGCCGCGGUAAUACGUAGGGUGCGAGCGUUAAUCGGAAUUACUGGGCGUAAAGCGUGCGCAGGUGGUUUUGUAAGUCAGAUGUGAAAGCCCCGGGCUCAACCUGGGAACU